This 791-nucleotide long non-coding RNA is filed under the name Equus asinus (donkey). Its description in RNAcentral is "lncRNA (ENSEASG00005023798.1)". Lineage: Eukaryota; Metazoa; Chordata; Mammalia; Perissodactyla; Equidae. The record is from RNAcentral.
CCUAAGGUACCAGGCUCAGGCCAGCUAGAGAAAUGGAAGGAUCUUCUUGUAGCAGAACUCAAAGGAAAGCCCAAAGACUGUGGCAUAAAAACAACCUCCAUUGCGGCAAGAUUUGUACAUAUUGACCUGGGAGAGGCUGCAUUCAGUUCCCCUCCAGGACUUUUAUGAAUUGGAAAUAUGCCCCCGGCUUAGCCAAGGUCAUGGGCACCACUCCUUGAGCUUGGGGUCUUCCACCAGGUGGCAGUUCCAGAGGCCAUACCACAGCUUCAACAUGCAGCACAGGAGAGACUGUCCUUCUUUCCUUUGCCUCUCUCUGAAGAGCAAGUAAAAUUCCCCCUAGAAGUUCCCAGCAGUUACCUUCCUCUGACCCAAGAUGGGUCAUGUGCUUGUGCCUGAGCUAAUCAUGGGUACGCACUCCAGAAAAAUGCUUGCAUGGGACACCAUGAGAUAUGUACAGGCAUUGUGAUUGCAAAAACUGGGAAACAAUCUAAAUGGCCACCAGCAAGGCAACAAAACUGUGGGAUAGUCAUAUGAUGGGAUACUACUACAUCCACCAAUGGAAACUAACAAAUUACUGCUGCGUGCAUCAACAUGGAUGAGUCUCAGAAACAGAAUGUUCGACGAAAUAUGAAAAUUGCAGAAGAAUACACACAUACAACUGAAAACCCUGGACAUCAUGUAUAAAGCACACCUAAGAAGAAGACUGAAGUGGAGAGAACAAGACAGACCAACUAGGGACUUUGGGAACCAAGGAAUGACACAGCACUGAGUUCCUUCUUUUUCGUGUUUGG